CUACUUGGGAGCCUGAGGCAGGAGAACUGCUUGAACCCUGGAGGCAGAGGUUGCAGUGAGGUGAAAUUGCACCACUGCACUCCAGCCUGGGCAACAGAGCAAGACUCCAUCUCAAAAACAACAACGAAAACUCUGAACUCCGAAUUCUUGGGAAGAUUGAUUUGAGUAAUAAUAAAACUCUGGUCUCCCGCACAGCGAGCUCUGUGUGAAUUAUUCAUUCUCUGUGCAGUUCACCUGUUUUGAUAAAUCAGCUCUGUCUAGGCAGCAGGCAACACGAGCCCGUGUGGUGGUUACACUAGCCUGUAAUCCCAGCUACGUGGGAGGCUGAGGCGGGAGAAUUGCUUGAACCUGGGAGGCAGAGGUUGCAGUGAGCCAAGAUCAUGCCACUGCACUCCAGCCUGAGCAACAGAACGAGACUCCAUCUCAAAAAAAAAAAAAAAAAAAAAAAAAAUUGGAUGGUUAUAGUCAUGCUAAGAUGUAGGUACGCACUGAAAUGCCACAAAGUACAUCCACAAAGUACUAGAUUUUGUCACACCGUCAGCCCAGCUGCACUUACACAUAGCUUGGCUUAUACACUGAUACAAGAUGCCUUUGAAAGAAAGAUGGCACCUUCCUCCUCCUGCUUUCCACAGGCACCCCACUCUGCAUCAGAGCAGCUGUCUUUCACUGCACUCUGCGACUCCCUUGAGCUCCUCCCUGCGCAAGAUCCGAGAACCCUCUCUUGGAGUCUGGACUGGACCCCUUUCUCCAGCAGCAUUGGGUUCCUCGGAUUCACACUCACAGCAUGCUGAGGCCUGUCUUACAAAGAAUGAACUGAGGCUUAGAAAGAUGAAACCAAAACCUCCUCAGUCACGUGGCUGAAAAUCGUUGACUCCACCUGUGACCUGGACACCUCCUACCUCUAUCCCUGGAGUUGUGUCACCUUUCUGGACCAAACCACUGGACACCUUACACGUAUCGACUGGCAACGUGUACACCUCCACACACUGCUAAAUGACAAAGCCGAAUUUUGAAAUACGAUGCCAUGAGGUGUUUGGAGAAGACACAACUGAAAUGAUGUCAUGGAGGUGGCAAGGGAUCGUCUUGCCCUUUUCUUUUUUUCUGCCUGUAACUUCUGUCCCCCUAAAAUGCAUAAAAUCAAGCUGGAAUCCAACCACCUUAUGCACCAGUUCUUAGGACCUCCUGGGGUUGUGUCACCAAUCAUGGUCCUCAUAUUUGGCUCAGAAUAAAUCUCAUCAAAUA
Chlorocebus sabaeus (green monkey) is the source of this 1242-nucleotide non-coding RNA. Lineage: Eukaryota; Metazoa; Chordata; Mammalia; Primates; Cercopithecidae. The record is from RefSeq and is a predicted model, not a curated record.